GCCUUCUUAGCUCAGUGGUAGAGCGCGCCACUCGUAUUAAUGACGAAAGAUGGUGAGGUCGGUUGUUCAAUCCAGCCAGGAGGCA
This is a non-coding RNA of Polyporus arcularius HHB13444, 85 nucleotides long. The record is from the annotation of a GenBank genome assembly. Lineage: Eukaryota; Fungi; Basidiomycota; Agaricomycetes; Polyporales; Polyporaceae.